Molecule: transfer RNA, 95 nt
Filed under: Neurospora crassa
Lineage: Eukaryota; Fungi; Ascomycota; Sordariomycetes; Sordariales; Sordariaceae
Also listed under: 1 other name
Description: tRNA-Ile
Source: RNAcentral
GCCCGAUUAGCUCAGCUGGUUAGAGCGUCGUACUAAUAUCUUUACGAGAUAUCAAGUCCAUGCGAAGGUCAACAGUUCAAUCCUGUUAUUGGGCA